GCGGCACCGGGUGGACCCGCUUGUUCCCGCCUCCCUCUUCGCCCAGCCAGUUCCCGUUGGCUGUCUGUCUGGGACAGGCACAAUGAUGGCGCUCCUGGAGCUCGGGGGCGGGGAGCUUUUCAGAGUGUAGAAUUUUCCUGCGAGUUGGACUCUUCACCAACUGACUGUCCCGAGGGGGCUGAAGCUGCUGCCCGGGUCAGUGGCGAGGUUCGGCGCAAUCUCUGGCUUGUAACUAGAGUCCGACGCUGGAUGCGCGGGGUGACGGUGCUGUCUUCACUAGGUGGAAGAAGGAUCCAUAGGUUCCCAAAGGUGACCUUUGGGUCAGCCAGAAAUGUGAAAAGUUUGACUUGCUCUCUCCUCCAAGUGAGAGGAAACAAAUUAAAUCGGUUUGGGCUGGAGCAAAGCGAUAGAUACACUAGAGGCAAAGAAGGGCAAAAAACACUCCAGCCUUUGCUUCAGCGUGGCUGCUGCUGCUGAUACAGCCCCUCCCAGCAUUCCAU
This 500-nucleotide long non-coding RNA is filed under the name Equus asinus (donkey). Its description in RNAcentral is "lncRNA (ENSEASG00005032092.1)". The record is from RNAcentral. Lineage: Eukaryota; Metazoa; Chordata; Mammalia; Perissodactyla; Equidae.